CAGCCUACGGGAGGCAGCAGUGGGGAAUAUUGCACAAUGGGGGAAACCCUGAUGCAGCGACGCCGCGUGAGUGAAGAAGUAUCUCGGUACGUAAAGCUCUAUCAGCAGGGAAGAAAAUGACGGUACCUGACUAAGAAGCCCCGGCUAACUACGUGCCAGCAGCCGCGGUAAUACGUAGGGGGCAAGCGUUAUCCGGAUUUACUGGGUGUAAAGGGAGCGUAGACGGCUGUGCAAGUCUGAAGUGAAAUGCCGGGGCCCAACCCCGGAACUGCUUUGGAAACUGGACAGCUAGAGUGCAGGAGGGG
This 305-nucleotide ribosomal RNA is filed under the name uncultured bacterium. Its description in RNAcentral is "bacterial SSU rRNA". It matches the Rfam family "Bacterial small subunit ribosomal RNA", at positions 332 to 657 of the family's 1533-position model. The record is from RNAcentral.